Populus euphratica (Euphrates poplar) is the source of this 754-nucleotide long non-coding RNA. RefSeq lists it as uncharacterized. The record is from RefSeq and is a predicted model, not a curated record. Lineage: Eukaryota; Viridiplantae; Streptophyta; Magnoliopsida; Malpighiales; Salicaceae. The transcript is spliced from 2 exons.
AUAUUAAUUAAGAGCCAAAAUAAACAGCUUUGCAAGUGUAUAAAACUUGUCUUCAAAAACAUUACUCCACCAGCCAGUGUCCCUGAUUAGCUUACUUCAGGGUCUGUUGGUGAAUACAUCAACUUUUUGUCCUCAAUGGCAGGCCUUCAUUAAUUAUGUCUUCUACCUUCCAGGCUACAUGUGGAGUUUCCACACAUACAGUUUAUUUUUCUUAAUUAUGUCUAUGUUUUUGUCGCUUUACCUUCCAUUGUAAAGAAAUACAGAUCCAGCCCUCCAAAAGCCAGUAUCAGACAUCGUUUGGUAGAAAAGACGGAAAUAGUUAGGAUAGAGAGUACAUGCUUCUCUGUAUUUUUUUUAUUUUGAAAUUACAGAAAUUCAUUUUAAGACUGUCUAAGAAAUAGUUUCUGUUUCUGUUUUUUAAACCAAGGUAGCUAGGAACAGGACCUGUGAUUCUCAAGGCUUGACACAUCAUUUUCCAGGGUAUGCUAAUGGCGAGUUAUGUCCACAAGGAAGCGUGGGAGUUUUGCAGUGUGUGUUUUUUCUUGUUGGCGAGGAGGGCAAUGUGAAAAGCCCCCCUCACUAGGGUUUGUCUAUUGCUAGUCCCACUCGUAGGGCAACAAGAUCAAGACCUUUGAAUAACUGUUCUCAGCUUGGAAAAAGUAUGAGAAUGGUGGUAUAGCUAGAUGACGAAGCCAAACCCUACCAUGUGCAUUCUUGUUGGAAAUUUUGAGAGAGAUGAGGUGAACUUCUAUCA